GCCACCCUUCGGGGCCUGCAAGGACCCAGUUGGGGGGGCAGGAGGGGGCCGGAGGAUGGUUGGUUGUGGGAUUUCUACUUUGCCUUUUCCUCCUUAUGCCGCCUUAGUGAGGGGCGGGAGCUCUGGCGGCAGCCCCGGGGUGGGGAGACGAGCUCCGGAGUCGGAAGAGCUGGGUUUUCUUCCGGGCCUAGCCACCAGUUGGCGGAGUGACCUUAGGCGAGUCACUCUGUAAUUUGUCUGCGCCUCAGUUUCCUCCUCUGCCUAUCAAUGUGUGUGGGGUUGAAAUCGCUUUGUAAACUAUAAAGCGUGGGUGUACGUAAAGGAUGGUUAUUGUUUAUAAUUUUUUUUGAGUUGUAAGAAAACUUAGCAGUUCCCCAAUCCUUGGGUUUUGAACCUGGGAACCUUGGAUUGGAGUUGGGGAUCCCCAAACUUCCUGAAAUUGUGGGAAUGUGCGGUUUGGGGGAAUGAUGGGAAUUUGUGGGAAUGUGCGUUUUAGGGGAAUGAUGAUCCAUCGCUAGCAAGUUUUCCAAGGGGGCUGUGACCCAGAAGAGUUAAGAAUCACAAUUUCUUCAUGCUACAGAGAGGAAACUGAGGCCUAGAUGUCAUUUGGGACCCUUCACAACCAUUUUGAAGCCCUGUUUGAGUCCCUGGGAUAUGUGAGCUGUUUCUAUGCAUAAUGGAUAUUCGGGGUUAACAACAGUCCCCUGCUUGGCUUCUAUUCUGAAUCCUUUUCUUUCACCAUGGGGUGCCUGAAGGGUGGCUGAUGCAUAUGGUACAAUGGCACCCAGUGUAAAGCAGCUACAAUUAGGAGUGGAUGUGUUCUGUAGCAUCCUAUUUAAAUAAGCCUAUUUUAUCCUUUGGCCCGUCAACUCUGUUAUCUGCUGCUUGUACUGGUGCCUGUACUUUUCUGACUCUCAUUGACCAUAUUCCACGACCAUGGUUGUCAUCCAUUACUUGAUCCUACUUUACAUGUCUAGGCUGUGUGGUUGGUGGUGAAUAGGCUUCUUUUUACAUGGUGCUGCCAGCCCAGCUAAUUAAUGGUGCACGUGGACUUUUAGCAAGCGGGCUCACUGGAAGAGACUGAACCUGGCAUGGAAUUCCUGAAGAUGUUUGGGGUUUUUUUCUUUCUUAAUCGAAAGUUAACAUUGUCUGAAAAGUUUUGUUAGAACUACUGCGGAACCUCAAAAUCAGUAGAUUUGGAAGUGAUUCAAAGCUAAACUUUUUCCUUGGCCCUCCUUGUGUUCUAAUUGCUUGCAAGUGUAAUACUAGGAUGUCCAAGAUGCCAGUUUUUGCUUCUUUGUUAGUUGUCAGCUGCUUUUAUCAAAUUUCAGGCCAUUAUCCAACAAACACUAUAAAAAUGUUUGAACAAUUGGAUUUCAAACAUUUUCGUUUUGUGGAGUGGUGCUCACCAAGUGGUACAGCCCUAAGCAAGUGAACACAAACACAUUUAAGUGUAUUUUGUCUGAUUAGAUGUUAGCCAGUUAUGCUAUUUCAUUCAAAUGUCUGAAAAAAUCAAUUGACUAUUCCCUUUUCCUAAAGGGCAGAGACAGAUAAUCUCACUUCCAGAGAAAUGACUUGGAGAAAAAAAAGUGUUGGUCUUUUUGCUCUUUUGUAAUUAAAUCCGGAUGUACCUCAAAAGACUUAAGACUGUGGUGAUAAGAUGCUUUCCUCAGCAGAAAGGAGGGAAAAAAAACAACUGGAACUCAAAGCUUGAAAUUCUGUGGCAAAACAUGAGAUGUCCAGGAUUGGAGGUUGAAAAGAUUUCACUACAGUGUUCUGCAAUAGUUGGAGCAGAUAACUUUCAGUGUAGCCACAGCCAUGGACUCCAGAUUUCCAGAUUUUCAAGACCUGGACCUGGAACCCGAAAGAGCUUGUCACGAUGCGGCAGGAACACUGGAGGUAGAUUUUUUUUUAUUUUUGAAUUUUGGGACUGUUGACCUUGCUGUGAGAAAAGAGACAACGACUGAGCAAGCACUACCACCAGCACUGUUACUGGGAAUUAGAAGACCUGAGUUUCUGUCCAGACCCUCAGUGCAAACUGAGGAUGCUCCAUCCAAAGUGAAUUAUGAUAGCAGACUCCUUGAAAGCAGGGUCCUUGUUUAGUGCAUCUUUGCCCACAUACACCACAACAUAUCAAGAUGCAUUUAUUAGGAAGGAGGAGUUUAGAGAGCAGGCUAUCAGAAUAACCACUCAUCCUGUGCCUCCUGAUUGCUGAGUGUUCACCUGGACCUUCUGACUACCUUCCCUGUGCUAUUCCAUCAGCCUACAGACCUGGUACCUGGAUUUUUGCCCGAGAUGAUUCCUACCACCUUACUACUGACGAAGACACCCAUUCCAGUGGACCACUGUGACCCAGGAGGCAUUCAGCCAUCAUGAUGUGGCCUUUACCUCCACUCCUGUCUUGUUCUACCCAGAUUCAGCACAGCCCUUUAUAGUGAAGUCAGAGUCCUCAAGCCAAAUAGCUAAAGCUGUUUUAUCACAACAAAGGCCUAGUUUGUUCCAUGAGUGUGCAUUUCAUUUCUUCAGUUAAAGCCUUCAGAGACACACAAUAAAUUUGGACCAGGGGAUUUUUUAGUUAUUAAUGCUCUCUGAAGAAAGGCAACAUCUUUUUGAGAGCAGCAUUGGACCACACCCCACAAUCUCAAAUGAUUGAAAUUCAUGAACAUCUAGGAUCCCGUGAAGGUCACUGGACCCUGUUUUUUCUACUUCAAAUCCUGUAGUAGCCUACUGAAUGAGAAAACAUAUUCUGACCCAUUGGGAUCAAAUCAAAGGCACAGUGAACUCCUCAUAGCAUCUUCUUUGGAAUUACUCAGGAACCAGAACUUUUUACACAAAUGUAAGAAAUUCUACCAAGGAGUCCCCUUACCUAACAGCAUCUCACAAGGCUGCACCAGAUUCCAGAAAAGGCUUCUCUUGAUACAUCAAGGUAGAACCUCUAUGCAUUUUGUGACCGACUUAUUCUUAGAUCAUUGGUUUUCCAAAGGCUUUGUGGCCAUGAAGCCCUUUGAGUGAAAACUGUGCAGAAGCCCAGAGUAAAAGUGAAGCUGCUCUGGAUGAAGUAGUGAAGCAAGAGUAGGGGCCUGAAUCCUGCUACAACUAUCUUCCUUUACCACCGUGGUGACACCUAAGGGGACUUCCUUACAACACCUUGAACUCUUCCGAACACAGUUUGAAAACCACUGCCCCAGACAGCAAUAUGUUUGACCUGAAUGGCAUUCCAAUCUUUUCUGUACCUCCACUCAGCACAGUUCAUGUUCAGUAGAUGCUGAACAUUCUUAGAAAUACUGUGUGUGAACUUAGAAAAGUGCAAGAAGACAGGCAUGUCUUUGACCCCAGGAAUGAUCAUUUGCUGAAGAUGGUGUCAAGUGAACCUAGAUUAACAGCCCUCCACUCCAGAUGGAUAUCCAGUGAUUCCUAGAAUGGGAUAUAGCCAGAGAACAAUUCUAUGCACCCUACACUGACAGACUCCCUUAAGCAACACCAGAUGCUCUACUGGUACUUGAAGUACAUGACUUUGAAGUCUUGACCCUCCAUGAAUACCUGAAUUAUCAGCAAGCGGGUUUUGAAGCUGGUGCCUCAUUGAGGCCAUAUUAGAGCAACUUGUACAUUUGACCUCUUGUUAUCAGCCAUGGUACUCUACUUCGUGUGCAAGAGAUAACUAUGAAAGCCAAAUUCAAAUACUGGCAACAUUUCCUAAAGGGGCUCAAUAUCUAUCAUUCGUCUUCUUUUCCAAACUACACAUCACUGUAUGACUCAACCAGUAGCAGUUAUAUUGCCCCUUGGUUUUUAUUCAGUUUAACUACUGUUUCCAAGAUAAAUGAGCUAAUAAGCUUUAAAAAAAAAAAAAAAAAAGGCUGAAUUCUUUUUUCUUCAUCACUGGCAUAUCUGCCUAUUCUCCAGAAUUAUUAUGACUAUUCAGCUCACUUUAACAGUUGAACUUCAAGCGACAAUCUUUGAACACCCCUUCUCAUGUGAUUUAAAAUGAAACCAUUUGGAAAAGUUUCUUCUAGCCAGUAAUAGAUUUUUUUUUUAAUUGCUCUGCCUUGUGCCGAGAGAUGUUCUUUUAAGAUGAAUCUUUUGAUGUCUGAUACCACCAAAUAUAGGUGGUAGGGAGAGUUGGAGGCUGGCCCUUUGAGCAGGCCAUUAGCUUACUUGCUGGGCAUUUCCGAUAGCUUAUUGCCUACCUUUUUGCUGGAAACAAACUGAUUUGAAAAACAAAAUCUAUGAAGACUGCAGCUAAGGAUUUUAUCGGUAGACUUAAGAGCUUUUGUCCUUGUGGAUAUUUUAGUGGAACCACAUCAGUCUCAAUACUGUCAUUUUACACUGACUCAGAGCAGCUGACUUCAUUCCUUGCCAUGAUAUAUAUUUAAGGCAGGCAUUGUAACAGACAUAAAGACAACUUAUCUGUUUCAGCAGGAAGGAUUCAGUUUAUGAACUCUCAGACCAGAUCAUGUUGAACAAGGAGACUUUGAUGUGUGUCAUGAGAAAACUCAUUCUUUACUUCCCAGUCAAUUUAAAGGCCAGCUAUCCUGAGCUACUCGAAUGAAUGCACUGGUUAAACAUUGGAAAUAGUUUGUUUAUAUCCUUGUCUCUCUCUAGGCCAAUUGUGAUUACAUGACUCGACUCUACAUCUCGUCAAACAAGGCCUAGGUCUGGUUGCUGUAGACUGCUCGCCCUCAACAAAUAAAAUCUGGUUGACUAGCCUCCUUGUAUAUACAACUAUUAUUUGUUAAGAAGAAAUUAUCGUCAAUUUUCUACUACCUUCCAAUUGUCAGCUCUUUUUUUCCUCUCUGGUUUUUCCUAUACUUUACAGAAAAAGACAUUGAUCUAUACUGCCAUUCCCUCUAAUCCUGCCAUACUCAGUCAAAAGGAAUGACUUAAGAUGAAGAUGAUCAUCUGCUCGAGUCUAAAAUAUACAUUGUAUAUAAGAAUUGGUGAUUAGAAAAGCAAAAAACCUAAAACUUAAAUCUAGGAGUCUGUAUACUGUCUCCAUGUCUCCAUGCCUCAGAUCUCAUCUAAAUCUUUGAACAGCACCAUUCAACCAAUCUGAGGCCUUGACUUGCUUGUAAGAUGAUUCUCAGAGAUCGGCUGAGUUAAAAAAGAUGACGACUUGAUUACCAAAGAAAGUAGGGCCAACUUUGACAAAUCUGGCUCUGCUGACCCUGUCACUCCCAGAUGUAGCAUAGACUCCUAAACAGAACCUCAAGUCUGAUUGAGGAUAAGGCCUUCUCCUGAGCUGAAAGUUCUUUGGCAGAUGAGCAAGAAACUGAAAGCUGAUGUACCUGACUGGCUCUGUAAGAUCAGAAAACUGUAUCCAGAAUAAGCCCUAUGGAUUAACCCCUGAGUACCCAGAGUAAAAACUAAUUUACAGAACUUCCUUAUUGAUCUGCUGGUUCUUCCAGAUCAUAUUCUGGCUAUUGGUAUGGCUGGCCUUUCUGAAGGUACCCUGCUUGUCUAUUUUCCUGACUCAGCUCUUGCCUGCCUUUUUCACAUGUUGCUGCAAUUAGACUCACCGUGAGGACUACAGUCAAUUUCAGUCUAUCUUGUGCCCAAUACAACAAGGAUUUUUAAUAGUAACAACCCACACCUCACCCACUAGGACUCAAUGUUCACAACAGGAAGGACCAUUGCUGCAUACUCCUUGACCAGCAACUUUUUUGAAGAUAUUUUUAAGUGCAGAGUAGGCCUCUAUUCCUGUAUGUAAUUGUUCAUUUUCAGCACCUGGAACCUCAUCUAUCGGGUCUGGAAGGAAUACAGCAGUUCGAAAGCCGCGUCCAUUUCUCUCCUUCAGUAGUGCAGAAAUGAGUCCGAUUCACCAGUACACACAGAACUGUACCAGUUCAACCUAGCAAAAGAAGAAAAGUUUCCACUGUACUUAAAAUUUACAGCUGACUCAAAUUGCCUCACAGAAUUAUUUGAUGUAGAAGGCUAGUUGUCUUACUUCAGAUCAGCAGGACAGUUGGGCUCUCAGACUCAUGACCACUGAGUUUGCUUGUGUUGAAACUGUGGUUUCAUCCAACAUAUGCUAUUGGACAUGAUUAUUAUUCCAUUCAAAUGGAUUACAGACUUCUUGAGGACAGGACAAACUUAUCUCUCAUGGUGUUUUUUUAGAAUACUUUUAUAACCAAGGAAGAAACCAUGCCAGCUGUUACCAUUCAACUUCUUAAGCAGAGAUUAAGCUUUUUCAUAUCUGUUCUUAUCCUGGACAUCAGUAGUUUUUAAUUGCCCAGCAUCCGUUCCAUCUUGUAACAACUCCCUGAUGUUUCUUAAAACCACCUCUUCCUAUUUUCAGUCUGUGGUUUGGACAGUCUGACCCAACCUUGAGCUUUGUGGGUGAACAUGUAAUUCAGACCUCAUCAAUCAGCAAAUCCAUCUGAACUGUGGAGGAGAAGCUCUCUUUACUGAGGGUGCUUUAGCUUUGUAGGAUGAAAACCUCAAACUAACAGGGCCUACCAUGUAGAGAAUGAAGCCAGUGCAGGGGAAAGCAGAGCCAAAAUAUGGAGAGACUUGAAUCCUGAUGACAGCGUUUGUGCCCCUGGAUCCAACCGUGCCUGAAGCUAGAAUAUCCCCUGGACUUUUCAGUUAUGUGAACCAAUAAAUACCCUUUUUUGCUUAAGUUACUUUGAGUUGGGUUUCUGUUACUUGAAAUUGAAUCCACACUAAUAUAUCUACCAACAUUGAGACUUGACAGAUCCAAGUAUUUAUUAAGCUAGAGGUCAUGGUCACUGAAAUUACUUUCCAAAGUGGAAGACAAAAUGAAACAGGAACUGAGGGAAUAUUUAAGAUCCCACAGAAGCGUAAAAAUGACAUGGUAGAAAGUAAUAGAAAACCUAAAUGUCUGUCAUUAAAGGAUAGGUUAAGGUGUGGUUCAGCCAUAUAGGAAUAUCUCGUAUCUGUUAAAAUGAAUAAAGUACAUUCAUUGUGUAUGGAAAAAUGGCCAUGAUACAUUAGGUGAAACAAGUUAUUAAUAGAAAAGUGUACAGUGUGAACUCAUUUUAAAAUGUGUGUGCUUAUGUUUAUAAAUGCAUAGAAAGGUCUAUUCACAGCUUUCUUUGAACAGUGUAGAUCACAUGAAACUUUCAACUUUAUACAUUUCUGUAUUAAUAUUUUACACUACCCACAUUAUUUUUAAACUUUAUUUUAAAUAAAGAAUUUUUAAAAUUAAAU
This 7167-nucleotide long non-coding RNA is filed under the name Homo sapiens (human). RNAcentral's name for it is "non-protein coding TUG1:13". The stretch from base 2196 to 2432 matches the Rfam family "Taurine upregulated gene 1 conserved region 3". Lineage: Eukaryota; Metazoa; Chordata; Mammalia; Primates; Hominidae. The record is from RNAcentral.